CGCCAAGGUGCAGGGCGCAUGCGGGAGGCCGGCCGGCGAGGGACGCGGGGACGCGGGGACGCGGGGACCCGGCGCCGGAGGCAAGGUGCUAUUUUCAGAAUCCAGGUAGAAUCUAACACAGUAAAACAAUGCCAAGGGAAAAGGAAGGAAAACAAAAAACUAAAGGAACACCCCUGCCCAUUGUUCCAAUUCUUCGGAAGUUCCUGAAAACGUAUGAAAAGCACUGUGUCCAGACGCAGACAGCUGUGUGUCCAGCCAUCAGACAGGACUUGAAAACCAGCAUCAACAACGAACAGAUUCUUAGGAAAUUUAUGCUUGUAAGACCUGGAGACUCCCCAACAAGCAUCUUACCCAUUUCCUUAGAACCUUUGCUCAUGACAAUUCGCGAUGAGUGUUAUAUGCUGGGGAAAGAGAUCUGUAUCUGGAGCCUUCAACUGAGCAACCCAGAGAUUGCCAGACUGGUGAGUCAUGCGUUUUAGAAGUAUUCCUUCAAUUAAACUUAAAAUUGAAUAUAACAUAAUAGCACAUAUUCCAGCUACAGUUCAUUUGGUUGUUGACUGAUAUGCACUAAGCUUUUUUUUUUUAAAAAAGACAACGUAUCUUUUAAUGAAACAUUUCAAAGUUAUGUAAAAGUACAAAAAACCAGGUAAAACUAUAAUGUUUGGUUAAAAAACAUUAUAGUUUUACCUGUUGUUUAUUUUAUAAAAUGCAACAUACAGUAUGCAUUCUUUUCUGUCUCUCUUUGCCUGUACAACAUUACGUUUUUAUGAGUCAUCAUAUUUUACUUUUGUAGAGCUAUAGUUGAUGCAUUUUCAUUGCUAUAUAGUUUUUUUUUAAGAUUUUAUUUAUUUAUUCGAGAGAGGAAGAGAGAGCCCAAGCGGGGGAGGGAGAGGGACAAGCAGGCUCUGCACUGAGCGUGGAACCUGAUGUAUGGUUCAUCCCAUGACCCUGAGAUCAUGACCUGAGCUGAAAUCAAGAGUGAGACGCUUAACUGACUGAGCCACCCAGAUGCCCCUAUAUCAUUUUCUACUAUGAAUAUACCAUAAUUUCUUUAUCCUACUAUUCAACAACAACAAAAAACAAACAACCUCAUUUUAAAAUGGGCAAAGGACUAAGGAAACAUUCUCCAAAGAAGGUAUACAAAUAAAUCAUAAACACACAAAAGAUGUUCAAUAUUACUAAUCUUUAGGGAAAUGCAAAUCAAAACUGCGAUAGGAUACUACCUCAUGUCAACUAGUAUGGCAUGAGGUAGUAUCUCAUAUAGUAGUAUGGCUACUACUAUAAAAAAAAUAGAACAUAAUGUGUUGACAGG
This 1312-nucleotide long non-coding RNA is filed under the name Mustela putorius furo (domestic ferret). RNAcentral describes it as "lncRNA (ENSMPUG00000028417.1)". Lineage: Eukaryota; Metazoa; Chordata; Mammalia; Carnivora; Mustelidae. The record is from RNAcentral.